RNAcentral lists this ribosomal RNA (402 nucleotides) under uncultured bacterium. RNAcentral describes it as "bacterial SSU rRNA". It matches the Rfam family "Bacterial small subunit ribosomal RNA", at positions 355 to 774 of the family's 1533-position model. The record is from RNAcentral.
UGGGGAAUCUUGCACAAUGGGGGCAACCCCGAUGCAGCGACGCCGCGUGAGCGGUGAAGCCCUUCGGGGCGUAAAGCUCUUUCGACCGGAACGAUAAUGACGGUACCGGGAGAAGAAGCUGCGGCUAACUACGUGCCAGCAGCCGCGGUAAUACGUAGGCAGCAAGCGUUGUUCGGAGUUGCUGGGCGUAAAGAGUGCGUAGGCGGUUUUCUAAGUUCGGUGUGAAAUCUCCCGGCUUAACUGGGAGGGUGCGCCGAAGACUGGGAAGCUGGAGUGUGGGAAAGGCAGGCGGAAUUCCUGGUGUAGCGGUGAAAUGCGUAGAUAUCAGGAGGAACACCGGCGGUGUAGACGGCUUGCUAGACCAUAACUGACGCUGAGGCACGAAAGCGUGGGUAGCAAACA